GACAGAGGGUGCAAACGUUGUUCGGAAUUACUGGGCGUAAAGCGAGUGUAGGCGGUUUCCUAAGUCAGGUGUGAAAGCCCCGGGCUCAACCCGGGAAGUGCACUUGAAACUGGGAGGCUAGAGUAUCGGAGAGGUUGGUGGAAUUCUCGGUGUAGAGGUGAAAUUCGUAGAUAUCGAGAGGAACACCGGUGGCGAAGGCGGCGACCUGGUCCAUUACUGACGCUGAGGCGCGACAGCGUGGGGAGCAAACAGG
Molecule: ribosomal RNA, 253 nt
Filed under: uncultured bacterium
Lineage: Bacteria
Description: partial 16S ribosomal RNA
Rfam family: Bacterial small subunit ribosomal RNA
Source: RNAcentral